Molecule: non-coding RNA, 341 nt
Filed under: Acidobacteriota bacterium
Lineage: Bacteria; Pseudomonadati; Acidobacteriota
Source: RNAcentral
UACAUUCACCGCAGACUUCGUGCUCGGGAAGACGGUUCGUUGGCUCCGGUUUUUGUCGGAGUCGCAGCGAAACAAUCCGUCGCCGCCGCGCGACUGUAAGGCGGAAGCCGCUCACAUCCCCGCGACCCGGCCAGGGGUCGCACUUGAGGAUGUCGAGUGUGCUUGCAAGGCAACCCGGCAAGGGUUGCACUUGAAGAGGUUCGCAGGCCACUGCGGCAAAACGCUCGUCGUCGCGACCCGUUAGAAGUCGCGACUCAAGAACAACAAGGGCGCCGCCGCGGGAAGGCUGUGAGCCAUGCACACCGCCAAGCCAGGAGACCGGCGAAGUCUGCAGCCUGUGC